CCUACGGGAGGCAGCAGUGGGGAAUAUUGCACAAUGGGGGAAACCCUGAUGCAGCGACGCCGCGUGAGUGAAGAAGUAUUUCGGUAUGUAAAGCUCUAUCAGCAGGGAAGAUAAUGACGGUACCUGACUAAGAAGCCCCGGCUAACUACGUGCCAGCAGCCGCGGUAAUACGUAGGGGGCAAGCGUUAUCCGGAUUUACUGGGUGUAAAGGGUGCGUAGGUGGCAUGGCAAGUCAGAAGUGAAAGCCCGGGGCUCAACCCCGCGGACUGCUUUUGAAACUGUCAGGCUGGAGUACAGGAGAGGUAAGCGGAAUUCCUAGUGUAGCGGUGAAAUGCGUAGAUAUUAGGAGGAACACCAGUGGCGAAGGCGGCUUACUGGACUGUAACUGACACUGAGGCACGAAAGCGUGGGGAGCAAACAGGAUUAGAUACCCGUGU
Molecule: ribosomal RNA, 437 nt
Filed under: uncultured bacterium
Lineage: Bacteria
Description: bacterial SSU rRNA
Rfam family: Bacterial small subunit ribosomal RNA
Source: RNAcentral